This 395-nucleotide long non-coding RNA is filed under the name Salvia miltiorrhiza (redroot sage). RNAcentral's name for it is "long non-coding RNA (SMIL_LNC009359)". The record is from RNAcentral. Lineage: Eukaryota; Viridiplantae; Streptophyta; Magnoliopsida; Lamiales; Lamiaceae.
AUUUAUUGAGUUCGAAUUUGGAACAAUGUCCUGAAAUAGAAGUUGUAGAUCAUCUCGAUACGAGUUCGUGAGCGCAAACGGAUCACAAAUCCGAGUUCGGACGAGAAAGUUAUGGCCGAAACGAAAACAUCGCGCGCAGUAGUCAGAACCCGGCGGUCAAACACCGUUGACCACCGCCCGAAGAAGGAUUUCCGGCGACCUGACCGGCGACCGCCGCCUGGGUCGCCGGAUCUUCUGGAACGUUGGAAAAGACGCGGCGAUCGCCGCCAGAUGAAGGAUUUUUGUGCUUGGGCCGGCGACCGCCGGAUGGGUCGCCGGGCAGGUCGCCGGCUACCCGGAUUUUUCAGUUUUGCGCGUUUUUGGAGUUCUUCUGGGUUUCAAACUCUGUAUUUUAC